Molecule: long non-coding RNA, 753 nt
Organism: Homo sapiens (human)
Lineage: Eukaryota; Metazoa; Chordata; Mammalia; Primates; Hominidae
Source: Ensembl
UUCAGUGUUUUAUAGAAGUGCUCACAUGUAAUCUAAACAAGAACUCUACAAGAGAGGUAUCCAGAGCCACAUUUUAUAGAUAAGGAAAUUGAGGCUCAGAGAGGACUAGAAAUUUGGCUAAGCUCCUGCAGCUGAGUUGGGGGCUGCAUCUGACAAGUGGCCGUGGUUUCAAGUCUCUGGAGUCCCAUUUUUUUCUCUUCCAUGGAGUUUGUUUGCUGCAGUUUGAGGAGCCGAGGCAUAUGAUAAAUACCAGGUGUCCUUAGAAGAAGAGGAGAUUGGGCCCCAGACACACAUGCACAGAAGAAAGACCACGUGAAGACAGAGGGAGAAGACGGCGAUCUACAAACCAAGGAAACAUCCUCAGAAUGAAACCAACCUUGCCAACCCCUGAUCCUAGACCUCCAGCCUCCACAACGGUCUUUGGACUCAGAUGGAAUUAUACCACGGGGUUUCCUGGGUCUCCAGCAUGCAGAUGGCAGAUUGUGGAACUUCUCAGCCUCCAAAAUCGAGUGAGCCAAUUCCCAUCAUAAAUCCCCUCUCCUGUGUCUAAAUAUGUCCUAUUGCUUCUCUUUCUCUGGAGAAUGCUGACUAAUACAGACAUAAUACAGCAGUCUUUGGGGAUGAUGUAUGAGUAUGUGGAGGAAGAACUAGACAUGAAGCAGAGUGUGCUUUCUUUAACAUAACUUUUUCAUUAAAAUAGUUGUAUGUGCUUCGUACAAAAACUUGGAAAAUACAGAAAUGUAAUGGAAAAAG